Molecule: ribosomal RNA, 433 nt
Filed under: uncultured bacterium
Lineage: Bacteria
Description: bacterial SSU rRNA
Rfam family: Bacterial small subunit ribosomal RNA
Source: RNAcentral
AACGCGAAGAACCUUACCGGGGCUUGACAUCCCGCGCUAUCCUAGGAGACUAGGUUUCCGGGCAACCGGACGCGGAGACAGGUGCUGCAUGGCUGUCGUCAGCUCGUGCCGUGAGGUGUUGGGUUAAGUCCCGCAACGAGCGCAACCCUUGCCGUGUGUUGGUCGCAAGAUCUCUCACGCGGGACCGCCGGUGACAAGCCGGAGGAAGGUGGGGAUGACGUCAAGUCAGCAUGGCCCUUACGUCCCGGGCUACACACGUGCUACAAUGGUGGUGACAAUGGGUCGCAAGCGUGCGAACGCAAGCUAAUCUCCAAAAGCCAUCUCAGUUCGGAUUGCACUCUGCAACUCGAGUGCAUGAAGUCGGAAUCGCUAGUAAUCGUGGAUCAGCAUGCCACGGUGAAUACGUUCCCGGGCCUUGUACACACCGCUAGUC